Non-coding RNA from Populus trichocarpa (black cottonwood), 155 nucleotides. Lineage: Eukaryota; Viridiplantae; Streptophyta; Magnoliopsida; Malpighiales; Salicaceae. The record is from Rfam.
UCUAGAACUCGAGAUAUGGGCUGAACACUGAACAGUGUCUGGGCUGCAGGACAGAUUCAGACUUCUCUGUUGUUGCUACAAUUUGGACUUGAAAACAGCCUUUUUAAAUCUUGUACUCCCAUGAAAGUUUUAGGCCUAUGUCUUAGCUUUCCAUC